RNAcentral lists this ribosomal RNA (468 nucleotides) under uncultured bacterium. RNAcentral's name for it is "partial 16S ribosomal RNA". It matches the Rfam family "Bacterial small subunit ribosomal RNA", at positions 28 to 507 of the family's 1533-position model. The record is from RNAcentral.
GACGAACGCUGGCGGCGUGCUUAACACAUGCAAGUCGAACGGAAAGGCCCUGCUUUUGUGGGGUGCUCGAGUGGCGAACGGGUGAGUAACACGUGAGUAACCUGCCCUUGACUUUGGGAUAACUUCAGGAAACUGGGGCUAAUACCGGAUAGGAGCUCCUGCUGCAUGGUGGGGGUUGGAAAGUUUCGGCGGUUGGGGAUGGACUCGCGGCUUAUCAGCUUGUUGGUGGGGUAGUGGCUUACCAAGGCUUUGACGGGUAGCCGGCCUGAGAGGGUGACCGGCCACAUUGGGACUGAGAUACGGCCCAGACUCCUACGGGAGGCAGCAGUGGGGAAUAUUGCACAAUGGGCGGAAGCCUGAGACAGCAACGCCGCGUGCGGGAUGACGGCCUUCGUGUUGUAAACCGCUUUCGCCUGUGACGAAGCGUGAGUGACGGUAAUGGGUAAAGAAGCACCGGCUAACUACGUG